GAUGAAGAACGUAGCGAAAUGCGAUAAGUAAUGUGAAUUGCAGAAUUCAGUGAAUCAUCGAAUCUUUGAACGCACCUUGCGCUCUUUGGUAUUCCGAAGAGCAUGCCUGUUUGAGUGUCAUGAAAAUAUCAACCUUGACUUGGGUUUUGUGCUCUAGACUCGGCUUGGAAUUGGGUGCUUGCCGCUUUUACGAGCGGCUCACCUUAAAUGUAUUAGCUGGAUCUGUCUUUGAGACUUGGUUUGACUUGGCGUAAUAAGUAUUUCGCUAAGGACAUUCUUCGGAGUGGCCUCGUUUCUAGGACGCUUGUCCGCUUUCCAAUACAAGUUCCACCUCGUGGACAUGACUUUUUAUUAUCUGGCCUCAAAUCAGGUAGGACUACCCGCUGAACUUAAGCAUAUCAAUAAGCGGAGGA
This 413-nucleotide unclassified non-coding RNA is filed under the name soil metagenome. RNAcentral's name for it is "partial contains 5.8S ribosomal RNA, internal transcribed spacer 2, and large subunit ribosomal RNA". The stretch from base 1 to 120 matches the Rfam family "5.8S ribosomal RNA", at positions 35 to 154 of the family's 154-position model. The record is from RNAcentral.